Long non-coding RNA from Syngnathus typhle (broad-nosed pipefish), 810 nucleotides. RefSeq lists it as uncharacterized. The transcript has 3 exons. The record is from RefSeq and is a predicted model, not a curated record. Lineage: Eukaryota; Metazoa; Chordata; Actinopteri; Syngnathiformes; Syngnathidae.
CAGCAAAAAUUUUCGUUUGUGCUACUUCCGUUUCGGAGAUAUUAGACAUUUAUUUUAUAGCGAUGACGUCACCCAGCCCCCCACCGGUCUCCAAAUGGACCCAAAAUGGUACCGUUCGUUUGUGCUUCGUUUGUGCAGGUUUGUGCAGCAAAAAAUUUCGUUUGUGCUGCGAUGGUUUCGGAGAUAUUAGACAUUUAUUUUAUAGCGAUGACGUCUGGUAGCCCCGCCCCCUUGUUUACUUCCGAACGACCCAAAAUAGUGCCAUUCGUUCGUUUGUUUGGUUUGUGCUGGUUUGUGCUGCAAAAAUGGUAUCGAUUGUGCCGGCUGCUACGGUUUUGCAGAUAUUACACAUUUAAUUCAUAGCGAAGACGUCACCCAGCCCCACGUCACUGUUUUUUGUCGCGAAUUUCAAGCUCCUGGAAUGCUCCUGAUGCAGGACGAAUACAAGGUCAUUAUAGAUCUCCCAGGCAUAUGCAGUCCUCCUGCAGUAUGCCACAUAAUGCCCGAGAGAAUCCUGGGUCAGUCCUGGUUCAAAGCCAAUGACUGCUCUCAAAGUAAAGGUCUUCUCUUUUAGCUCCAGACUGGAGGGAAAUUCAAGCAAGGCAACUUCCUUGCAACUGCUACCAAGAGUUUUGAAUGAAGACGGACACCGGGAAGGAUUUUUGGCGUUCAGUGAAUCAUUCAAUUUGUCAUUUAUUUAAUACUAAUUUAUUUUCUAGAGAUGUCAUAUCCUUACUUCAUGGAUCGUUAAUUAACCAUUUGUUUGUGCCAUUGCAAUUUUUCAUUAUUAAAAUCAUGCAUCUUCAUUAA